Small nucleolar RNA from Trichomycterus rosablanca, 186 nucleotides. RefSeq annotates it as small nucleolar RNA SNORA23. The transcript has a single exon. The record is from RefSeq and is a predicted model, not a curated record. NCBI's taxonomy places the organism in Eukaryota, Metazoa, Chordata, Actinopteri, Siluriformes, Trichomycteridae.
GGUGAGCGGUGUGCGUAGUGCUGGUCUGCGUUCAGUGCGGUCACCAGUUUGUGUUUUGCAGACUGCGGGACUGUGCUCACACCACACCUGCAGCCACAGAGCCACUGGAGAUCAUAGUACUGGCUUAGUGAGGUCUCUACCAAGAGACUUUCUACCACUGGCCAGCCUCCAUACUCUCCUACAAAA